UCCCUCAUAGCUCAGUCGGUAAAUCAUCUGCCUGCAACGCAGGAGACCCAGGUUUGAUUCCUGGGUCGGGAA
Molecule: transfer RNA, 72 nt
Filed under: Ovis aries (sheep)
Lineage: Eukaryota; Metazoa; Chordata; Mammalia; Artiodactyla; Bovidae
Rfam family: tRNA
About the family: Transfer RNA (tRNA) molecules are approximately 80 nucleotides in length. Their secondary structure includes four short double-helical elements and three loops (D, anti-codon, and T loops).
Source: Rfam by way of RNAcentral